RNAcentral lists this ribosomal RNA (253 nucleotides) under uncultured bacterium. RNAcentral's name for it is "partial 16S ribosomal RNA". It matches the Rfam family "Bacterial small subunit ribosomal RNA", at positions 524 to 776 of the family's 1533-position model. The record is from RNAcentral.
UACGAACCGUACAAACGUUAUUCGGAAUCACUGGGCUUAAAGGGUGCGCAGGCGGAUAUGUAAGUCAGUGGUGAAAUCUCUAGGCUUAACCUGGAAAUUGCCAUUGAUACUAUAUGUCUUGAAUGCUGUGGAGGUAAGCGGAAUAUGUCAUGUAGCGGUGAAAUGCUUAGAUAUGACAUAGAACACCUAUUGCGAAGGCAGCUUACUACGCAGAUAUUGACGCUCAUGCACGAAAGCGUGGGGAUCAAACAGG